RNAcentral lists this long non-coding RNA (2140 nucleotides) under Hordeum vulgare. RNAcentral's name for it is "long non-coding RNA (HVUL_LNC007691)". The record is from RNAcentral. Lineage: Eukaryota; Viridiplantae; Streptophyta; Magnoliopsida; Poales; Poaceae.
CUCUCACAGCGAUUUGCCUUUUUGGCCAUCCGUUUUUGCGAUCUCGAAGUUUCUGGCCGUUGGAUUUUGUGCUAAAUCGAUCUGAUCUACAGUGUGCUUAGUCUGGCCCAGCUGUCCUUUGGUCUGCUACUCCAGAGGCCGAAAGCAAGGCCUCUGAUGCAUUGGGUCAAGUGCGAGCUUCCAGCCCAUUCGAAGGAGGGAGGCAUAGGAGCGACCACGUGAGGUCCAUCCGAUAGCGAACCCUCCUAAUCCAAUCCCGAUGUGAAGAAAAACAUUGUUUGGUCCAUAGGAUGCGGGGCACGCGAAGAGAGCAGGCGCGCAAGGGGAUCGACCGUGAGUGAAGCCGGUCGAGGCGAGCGAGGGGAGUCGAUCCGGCGCAGAUCCAGCGCGAUGCGGUUCAGCGGGGGCGCUCGACGAUUCAAUCAUAGGCGAUAGAAAUAAUCAUUUAUGUGGACCUUAGUGGCAAUUGAUGUGCCCACUCGCCAAUGUCCGUUGCUACAAACCUUAAUGGCAAUUGAUGUGCCCAGGUCGGUUAUCAUGUCGAUCCGUGUUCCUACAGUACUCCAUUUGCAUCCAUAUAUAGUCUCGAUCAUCGCAUUGUCCCUCCCCAUCCCAUCCUUACUUCGGCAGGUUGCUACUUAUUUUCUUUGUUCCCUCUUCCCCAAUUAUUUCUCAAUCAAAUUCCUGAAAUUAUCUUAUUGAUGUUGUUUUUUCUACUCCAAGUUGAAUAGAAGGUGCUCUGAGUUGACGGAUUCGAGCUCGUUUCUGCUCGGCUGGGUUCUCCCUUGCCGCUCCAAUGGCUUCAGGUCAGGAUAUUAUCGGUGUUAUAUUACUAGCUAUGUGUACUCAUCCUGCUGCACAUGGUGUCUACAGUUGGACAGUAUUAUUUUGAUCCAUGACUACAAUUGGUUUCUUAAAUCUGUAUCCUGUUUGGGGGAUUUUGGUAUCCGUAUGGAUUAUUCUGUCGAAGGGACUCUGUUCUAGGAAUCCGAGAACACCAUAGCUUCAUAUGAUGACGGCAUAUGGAGCAACUUCUUCUGUAUAUCUUGUUGGAUAAUGUAUUGACAUGCUUCCAAAGCCUCUAACUGAAUGUAUCCCUUUCAUUAUAUAACAUACACACUGAAUUCCAGAAUUGCUUACUGAAUUUGAAAAAGUAAUGAAGCAGGUACAUGCAUAGAGGUAUCCACGCAAAUAAAAAGUCAAAUACCUAAUGGAUAGGAUCCAUACCCAGCUUGGCCAUCAACCAAUAUUAUCUCAAGAUAUUGGCAAUUAAUCUUUGUUUUACGAAGAUUACUUGAAAAGAAACACUGAUUUGGUCUGAGAUUUUGGUCUGACGAUGUAUUAUUGUGGCAAUAGGGGCUCCCUUCCCUCUAAACUUCUGUGUUGUCAUCAAGAUGAUCCUAAAAUGCAGAGAGUGUGUGCGUGUGUGUGUGUGUGAGAGAGAGAGAUACAGAUGAGGAGAUGUUUGUAUUUAUAAGUUUUCUUAAUGAGCCUAUAUACAGUCAAGGAGCUGCACUAGAGAACAUUUAUUAAACAGAGGAAUUACAUAUUUAGGUUUUCUUGUAUGAUGUUAGUUUCAAUUCAUUCCUAAGCUGGACAGUAAAAUUAGCCACCACCUAGGUUUAUUGAGCUUAAAAUAGAUGCCUCUUUUAAUGGAGAUCAUUUAUGCAAUUAUGCUGGAGCAAUCAACCCAGAUGGUAAUGUGUUUCUUGUAUAGCUGAACUGGAUUAUGUUCUAGAUGCUCAGAUGGUGGAAGCUCAUGGACUAAGACAUGGCUUACUGCCACGCUCUCGCUGGAUGUGGUCGUCUUGCUAUUAAAUCAAAAGGCAUGAUGAUCAGUCACAACACCCGACGACUGGAGUGUAUGAUGACUAUUACCACUUAUCCACAUAUUUUGUCAAGAUAAUCUUCGACCACUGUCCCUAGGAAGAUAAUGCAAUUGCCCAUGAGCUUGUUGUGUUGAGAGAUGAGGAUUCCCCACCUUGCAUUGUACCUCUUUUUUCGAAGAGCACUCUACCUCUUCUUUUAUAGGAGAGCAUUGUACCUCUUCUAGCCGAAGAUAUAACUGUUAUUGAUUUUUAGUAGACAUUUUUCUGUAGAAACUAAUUCAUUCCUAUUAAGUCUUUACCUUUUAUUUGUG